CAUGAUGAACGCUAGCUACAGGCUUAACACAUGCAAGUCGAGGGGCAGCAUGGUCUUAGCUUGCUAAGGCCGAUGGCGACCGGCGCACGGGUGAGUAACACGUAUCCAACCUGCCGUCUACUCUUGGACAGCCUUCUGAAAGGAAGAUUAAUACAAGAUGGCAUCAUGAGUCCGCAUGUUCACAUGAUUAAAGGUAUUCCGGUAGACGAUGGGGAUGCGUUCCAUUAGAUAGUAGGCGGGGUAACGGCCCACCUAGUCUUCGAUGGAUAGGGGUUCUGAGAGGAAGGUCCCCCACAUUGGAACUGAGACACGGUCCAAACUCCUACGGGAGGCAGCAGUGAGGAAUAUUGGUCAAUGGGCGAGAGCCUGAACCAGCCAAGUAGCGUGAAGGAUGACUGCCCUAUGGGUUGUAAACUUCUUUUAUAAAGGAAUAAAGUCGGGUAUGGAUACCCGUUUGCAUGUACUUUAUGAAUAAGGAUCGGCUAACUCCGUGCCAGCAGCCGCGGUAAUACGGAGGAUCCGAGCGUUAUCCGGAUUUAUUGGGUUUAAAGGGAGCGUAGAUGGAUGUUUAAGUCAGUUGUGAAAGUUUGCGGCUCAACCGUAAAAUUGCAGUUGAUACUGGAUAUCUUGAGUGCAGUUGAGGCAGGCGGAAUUCGUGGUGUAGCGGUGAAAUGCUUAGAUAUCACGAAGAACUCCGAUUGCGAAGGCAGCCUGCUAAGCUGCAACUGACAUUGAGGCUCGAAAGUGUGGGUAUCAAACAGGAUUAGAUACCCUGGUAGUCCACACGGUAAACGAUGAAUACUCGCUGUUUGCGAUAUACUGCAAGCGGCCAAGCGAAAGCGUUAAGUAUUCCACCUGGGGAGUACGCCGGCAACGGUGAAACUCAAAGGAAUUGACGGGGGCCCGCACAAGCGGAGGAACAUGUGGUUUAAUUCGAUGAUACGCGAGGAACCUUACCCGGGCUUAAAUUGCAGAUGAAUUACGGUGAAAGCCGUAAGCCGCAAGGCAUCUGUGAAGGUGCUGCAUGGUUGUCGUCAGCUCGUGCCGUGAGGUGUCGGCUUAAGUGCCAUAACGAGCGCAACCCUUGUUGUCAGUUACUAACAGGUUCCGCUGAGGACUCUGACAAGACUGCCAUCGUAAGAUGUGAGGAAGGUGGGGAUGACGUCAAAUCAGCACGGCCCUUACGUCCGGGGCUACACACGUGUUACAAUGGGGGGUACAGAGGGCCGCUACCACGCGAGUGGAUGCCAAUCCCCAAAACCUCUCUCAGUUCGGACUGGAGUCUGCAACCCGACUCCACGAAGCUGGAUUCGCUAGUAAUCGCGCAUCAGCCACGGCGCGGUGAAUACGUUCCCGGGCCUUGUACACACCGCCCGUCAAGCCAUGGGAGCCGGGGGUACCUGAAGUGCGUAACCGCGAGGAGCGCCCUAGGGUAAAACUGG
This 1442-nucleotide ribosomal RNA is filed under the name uncultured organism. RNAcentral's name for it is "SSU rRNA". It matches the Rfam family "Bacterial small subunit ribosomal RNA". The record is from RNAcentral.